This 287-nucleotide unclassified non-coding RNA is filed under the name Dothideomycetes sp. RNAcentral describes it as "partial contains 5.8S ribosomal RNA, internal transcribed spacer 2, and large subunit ribosomal RNA". The stretch from base 1 to 52 matches the Rfam family "5.8S ribosomal RNA", at positions 103 to 154 of the family's 154-position model. The record is from RNAcentral. Lineage: Eukaryota; Fungi; Ascomycota; Dothideomycetes.
AACGCACCUUGCGCUCCUUGGUAUUCCGAGGAGCAUGCCUGUUUGAGCGUCGUGAAUCUCUCAACCCACAAAUUGUUUGUUCAGUCUGUGCGGCUUGGAAUUGGAGGCAUUGCUGGCGACGGUCGGCUCCUCUCAAAUAAAUUAGCUGGGCUUAGCUCGGUGGAACGGUCGGUGUGAUAAUUAUCUGCGCCGUCACCUACUACACCGGAUCCCGCUUCUAAUCGUCCGUAUGGACAAUUCACCUUGAAUCUGACCUCAAAUCAGGUAGGACUACCCGCUGAACUUAA